This 253-nucleotide ribosomal RNA is filed under the name uncultured bacterium. RNAcentral's name for it is "partial 16S ribosomal RNA". It matches the Rfam family "Bacterial small subunit ribosomal RNA", at positions 524 to 776 of the family's 1533-position model. The record is from RNAcentral.
UACGUAGGGUGCAAGCGUUGUCCGGAAUUAUUGGGCGUAAAGGGCUCGUAGGCGGCCAACUAAGUCAGACGUGAAAUCCCUCGGCUUAACCGGGGAACUGCGUCUGAUACUGGAUGGCUUGAGUUUGGGAGAGGGAUGCGGAAUUCCAGGUGUAGCGGUGAAAUGCGUAGAUAUCAGGAGGAACACCGAUUGCGAAGGCAGCUCGCUGGGACGUCACUGACGCUGAGACGCGAAAGCGUGGGGAGCAAACAGG